GUACAAUGAUGAGACUUUGGCUCC
Molecule: non-coding RNA, 24 nt
Filed under: Gallus gallus (chicken)
Lineage: Eukaryota; Metazoa; Chordata; Aves; Galliformes; Phasianidae
Source: miRBase by way of RNAcentral